Molecule: ribosomal RNA, 292 nt
Filed under: uncultured bacterium
Lineage: Bacteria
Description: partial 16S ribosomal RNA
Rfam family: Bacterial small subunit ribosomal RNA
Source: RNAcentral
GUGCCAGCCGCCGCGGUAAUACGGAGGGUGCAAGCGUUAUCCGGAUUCACUGGGUUUAAAGGGUGCGUAGGCGGGCAUAUAAGUCAGUGGUGAAAUCCCCGAGCUUAACUUGGGAACUGCCGUUGAUACUAUGUGUCUUGAAUAUCGCGGAGGUAAGCGGAAUAUGUCAUGUAGCGGUGAAAUGCAUAGAUAUGACAUAGAACACCGAUUGCGAAGGCAGCUUACUACACGAUCAUUGACGCUGAGGCACGAAAGCGUGGGGAGCAAACAGGAUUAGAAACCCGCGUAGUCC